This 374-nucleotide ribosomal RNA is filed under the name uncultured organism. RNAcentral describes it as "bacterial SSU rRNA". It matches the Rfam family "Bacterial small subunit ribosomal RNA", at positions 526 to 896 of the family's 1533-position model. The record is from RNAcentral.
CGGGGGGGCGAAGCGUUGUUCGGAAUUACUGGGCGUAAAGGGCGCGUAGGCGGUUUGCUAAGUUGGAUGUGAAAACUACUGGGCUUAACCCAGAGCCUGCAUCCAAAACUAAGCAGGCUAGAGUUCUGGAGGGGAUAGCGGAAUUCCUGGUGUAGCGGUGAAAUGCGUAGAUAUCAGGAGGAACACCGGUGGCGAAGGCGGCUAUCUGGACAGAAACUGACGCUGAGGCGCGAAAGCUAGGGGAGCAAACAGGAUUAGAUACCCUGGUAGUCCUAGCCCUAAACGAUGGAUACUUGGUGUGACUGGGAUUGAAUCCAGUCGUGCCGAAGCUAACGCAUUAAGUAUCCCGCCUGGGGAGUACGGUCGCAAGGCUG